Mytilus trossulus (common blue mussel) is the source of this 644-nucleotide long non-coding RNA. RefSeq lists it as uncharacterized. NCBI's taxonomy places the organism in Eukaryota, Metazoa, Mollusca, Bivalvia, Mytilida, Mytilidae. The record is from RefSeq and is a predicted model, not a curated record. The transcript has 4 exons.
UGUUUCUCAGAAAAGAACAUUUUACUUUCACUUUCACUUUCACUUUCAUUCAGUUCAUCUAGGAUCAUAUAGGACAUGAUUAGGGUUUUAAAUGGUUUACCUACUAAAGAUAACUUAAAAUAUUGGUAAAUUCACAAACAUAAAUGCAAACUGGCCAGGUAGCAGUCAUGAUUCCCACAUAUUCCGGACUUCAGAGGUGUGUACCUACAUGGAAGAAAAUGGUGGAUGAGCAAAUGGUGUAUUACUUGUGGAUAGUGGUUAUCCAUGUCGACCAUUUCUGAUGACGCCAUAUCUGAAUCCUAUACUAGAUCAUCAAAAAAGUACAACAAAUGCCACUGUUCAACCAGAAGUGUAAUAGAGAGAACAUUUGGGAGGCUGAAGAGACGGUUCCAUAUAUUACACUCAGAGAUAAGAAUGAAACCGGGCAAGGCAUGCAAAAUAAUAGUUGCUUGUGCUAUACUCCACAAUAUAUGCAUUUUGUUGAAUGAACCAGACAUUGAAGAUAGUGGAGUAAUUGUAGGCAAUAAUGGUGAUUGGGAAACAUUUGAAUGGUCAUCAAGAUGGAAGAGCUGUUAGAGAUCAUAUUUCCACAACAUUUUUUAAUCAUUGAAAAUCAGAAAUAAAUCAUGACAACAUUUGUUAAU